AAGUCGUAACAAGGUUUCCGUAGGUGAACCUGCGGAAGGAUCAUUAACACAUAGUCCAUUUGAUGAUGGUUGAAGUGUAUUCUUUUUUAGAGAAUUUUUUCUCUUUAUUGAUACAUUCUCCAUCAUUCAAACCAAUUAGCAAAUGAGUUGAAGUCCUCAUUAUUAAUUAACUUUAAUAAUUGUGUGGAAUAAAACAAAUGUAAUCACGUUUAAUGAAUUCUUUUUUAAAGAAUUCAUUCGACUAAUGUUUACUCAAAAAAACAAAUAUAACCAAGACAACUUGUAACAGUGGAUACCUUGGUUCCCAG
This 308-nucleotide unclassified non-coding RNA is filed under the name fungal sp. RNAcentral's name for it is "partial internal transcribed spacer region". The stretch from base 1 to 46 matches the Rfam family "Eukaryotic small subunit ribosomal RNA", at positions 1786 to 1831 of the family's 1831-position model. The record is from RNAcentral. Lineage: Eukaryota; Fungi.